Molecule: ribosomal RNA, 358 nt
Filed under: uncultured bacterium
Lineage: Bacteria
Description: bacterial SSU rRNA
Rfam family: Bacterial small subunit ribosomal RNA
Source: RNAcentral
AAUGAACGCUGGCGGCAUGCCUAACACAUGCAAGUCGAACGAGACCUUCGGGUCUAGUGGCGCACGGGUGCGUAACGCGUGGGAAUCUGCCCUUGGGUUCGGAAUAACAGUUAGAAAUGACUGCUAAUACCGAAUGAUGUCGUAAGACCAAAGAUUCAUCGCCCAGGGAUGAGCCCGCGUAGGAUUAGCUAGUUGGUGUGGUAAAAGCGCACCAAGGCGACGAUCCAGCUGGUCUGAGAGGAUGAUCAGCCACACUGGGACCGAGACACGGCCCAGACUCCUACGGGAGGCAGCAGUGGGGAAUAUUGGACAAUGGGCGAAAGCCUGAUCCAGCAAUGCCGCGUGAGUGAUGAAGGCC